GCGGGGGUGGCUCAGUAGUAAGAGCGCGACUUUACCUACCAGAAGGCUCGUGGUUCGAACCCGACCUCUGCC
Molecule: transfer RNA, 72 nt
Filed under: Opisthorchis viverrini
Lineage: Eukaryota; Metazoa; Platyhelminthes; Trematoda; Opisthorchiida; Opisthorchiidae
Rfam family: tRNA
About the family: Transfer RNA (tRNA) molecules are approximately 80 nucleotides in length. Their secondary structure includes four short double-helical elements and three loops (D, anti-codon, and T loops).
Source: Rfam by way of RNAcentral